This is a long non-coding RNA of Lutra lutra (Eurasian river otter), 1266 nucleotides long. RefSeq lists it as uncharacterized. The transcript has 3 exons. Lineage: Eukaryota; Metazoa; Chordata; Mammalia; Carnivora; Mustelidae. The record is from RefSeq and is a predicted model, not a curated record.
GCCACGCUCCGAGCUGACCGAGCCUGGGACCGGUUCAAGAUAUGUGUGGAACCUGCACAUCCAAGAUGAGAUAGUAGCAAGUGUGUGAUAGUGGAAAAGAGGAUCUGUGCGAAGACUAAGCAAAAUUAUUCAGGGUGGGUCUGGGCCAUUAAGAGCACCCUGUAAGGGAGGACUGGGCCUUUCCUGAAGUCAGAGAUUGAAAGCCAGAAUCUUCUGCUGGCCUAGAAGAAGCAAAGUCCAUGUUGUGAAGGCAACAUGGUAGGGAACAGUGGGAAGCUUCUAGAAGCUGAGUAUCAGACCUACAGUUACAAGGAAUGCAAUUCUACUUGUAAGCACUGAGCUUGGAAGAGGAGCUAAGCUCAGAAUGAGGUUCUAACCCUGGCUGACACCUGAAUGCAGUUUGGUGAGACCCUGGGCAGAAAACCCAGCCAGCCCGUGUCCAGAUCCCGACCCUUGGAAACUGUGAGAUUAUAAGUCUGUACUGUUUUAAGCUGAUCAAUUUGUGGCAGUGUGUUACACAGCAAGAAAUAACUAACACACUCCAAGUCAUCUUCUGCCUCCACCAUUCUGCUGAGCCUGCACCUGUCAAGGUGUUCAGUGUUCUCCAAUUUGUCCUCCAAUUACAGGUCACUUCUCUUUCCUUAUCUGAAUCCAUCUUUGGGUGACAGUUUUGCUUUCUAAAAUUCUUUCCCCUUUCAACUUCUGUGUCCCACACUUCUUUCAUUUUCUUUCUGCAAUAAUACUUUUUGUUUCUUUAUCUUUCCCUGGCUCCUUCUCCUCCUUUCCUCAAUCUCAGAAUGUUGGAGUCCUGGGGCUUAGUCUUGGGUAGUCUUCACUAACUUUCUCUUCUGAUAUGAUCCCAUUCAGUCCCAUGGCUUUCAAAAUCUCCUGUAUGUCAAUGACUUGGAGAACAAUAUCUAGAAACUUGAUCUCCUCUGUGGACCCCAAACACAUAUCUACACUUGAUAUUUCUUCUGGGUUGUAACAUGUCCAAGAGAAAAUUAUUUCUUUUUUAAAAAAAUGCUUAAAAUUAUUAACAUUUAUUGUAGUAAUGCAACAUGAAUUAUUAAUAUAACCAUAUGAAUUUUUCAUUAAAAUGUUCAACAAUUUCCUACUGAAGCAUCCCAAAGUUAUAAAAAUCUGCUCUUUUAAAGUAACCUAUAGUGAAUUAAUCCAAGUAAUUGUGGCACUUCAGAAAGGAUAUUUACUCCACUGCAUGUUUUAAGUAGCUAAGGGAUAGCUUGAUCAAUAUAGCAAGUUACUGGA